GCCUUCUUAGCUCAGUGGUAGAGCGCGUGGCUUUUAACCACAUGGUUGUUGGUUUGAUCCCGACAGACGGUG
Molecule: transfer RNA, 72 nt
Organism: Ipomoea nil (Japanese morning glory)
Lineage: Eukaryota; Viridiplantae; Streptophyta; Magnoliopsida; Solanales; Convolvulaceae
Rfam family: tRNA
About the family: Transfer RNA (tRNA) molecules are approximately 80 nucleotides in length.
Source: Rfam